UACGUAGGGGGCUAGCGUUAUCCGGAUUCAUUGGGCGUAAAGCGCGCGUAGGCGGGCUGUUAAGUCAGAUGUGAAAACCGGGGGCUCAACCCGCGGCCUGCAUCUGAAACUGGCAGCCUCGAGUCUGGUAGAGGAAAGUGGAAUUCCCAGUGUAGCGGUGAAAUGCGCAGAUAUUGGGAGGAACACCAGUGGCGAAGGCGGCUUUCUGGGCCACGACUGACGCUGAGGCGCGAAAGCUAGGGGAG
RNAcentral lists this ribosomal RNA (245 nucleotides) under uncultured Coriobacteriaceae bacterium. RNAcentral describes it as "partial 16S ribosomal RNA". It matches the Rfam family "Bacterial small subunit ribosomal RNA", at positions 524 to 768 of the family's 1533-position model. Lineage: Bacteria; Bacillati; Actinomycetota; Coriobacteriia; Coriobacteriales; Coriobacteriaceae. The record is from RNAcentral.